AUCCCUACAUUCAUGUGUCAUAUCCCAACACCCACACCCUUUGGCGCGUGACAAAACCAAAACAACACUCAACUUGUGUUAUCUAAUCUCACCGCACAAGUCUCAAUCUAUGAACAGUUUCAAGCAAAGUUACCUUCCUCUUCUCCUUGUUCUUUCCCCAACACCUUGAAAAGCUAACCCAACACACACACACACACACUCUUAACACUUUUACCACUUUUACCACUUUCUACUUCUAUAACCCUUUUCUUCUAUCUUUCUCCCCAACAAAACAAACCCACCCAAAAACCAAAAAAUAUCAUACUAAAACAGAAUAUUGCUAUUUGCACCGUCUAUUCAACAUGGCACACCGUUCUUCCCGCCGGCGAAACACGGCACCACCGGAGACAAAUCCACCUCCUGCUUUAGCUAAGCAACCAAAACCCACCACCACAAAAACCACUAUCUUCUCAUCAUCACCUUCACCUUCUCACUAUCCAAAACCAAACCAAGAUUUGAUUCAAGCUACUAAAUCUUCUUCUUUUUUAGUUAAACCUUUUCAAAGCCUUAACUUAGGUAGUAAAAAAACCAAACAACAUUCUCAAACCAAACAUGUUGACUCACGUUUGCAAGGUAAAUCCAUGACAACCUCAGCUAUAUUUGAUUCAUCAAAACCCAACAACAACACACACCAAACGAAAAUCACAGUACUAACACCAAAUCAUGAAAAAGAGAGUGUUUUUUUGCAUUCUAAGAAGACCCUUAAAGAGAAACCACCUCAAAAACCUAGUUCAGAAUUGGAAAGGUGGAAACUUCAGGGGUUGUUGAAGAAUGAGAAAAAGGUGGUUGAGGUUGAAAAGUCAAGAAAAGUAACUGUUGUGGAAAAAGAAGGUGGUGAUGUUAAGGAGAGAGUUUCUGUUUCUAUGGGUCAAAGUGGUGGUGGUGGUAGAAGAAAAUCGUUAUGUGGAUCAAUGAUUGAUUUAGGUGAUUUCUUUGCAAUUAAUGGGGCGAAAAUGGUUUCAGCUGAUAUGCCACCGUUUAUGCAGAUCCAUGCUGUUGAUUGUGCUAGAAAAGCUUUUGAUAGUAUGGAGAAGUUCACUUCCAAAACCCUAGCAUUAUCCCUCAAGAAGGUAUAAUUCAUAUCAUCAUUGCUUGUUUUGUUCAUUAUUCAAUUCAUUUUAUUUAAAUUAGUUUUGAAUGAAUUGAUUUUGGUUAAGAAUGACUUAAUGUACUAUAUAAACCUAGUUCAAUUGACAAUGUCGGUAUUGUUAGAUUUGACACUUUUAUCGGGUUAGAACCAAGGGUCGUGGGGCGGAGUUUUAGUGGUCCUAGGAUGACUUUGAGAUUUGAUGACUUUAACGAGUGAUUGGUUACGAAAGAGAUAGAGACAAAGUCAUGAAUGCCACCAAAAUCAAAUUUUGUCUACAUACCCAAAAUGACUUAAUGUAAGUGUACGUUUGACAAACGCACCCCCAAUCCAAAUUUAGCAAAAUGAUUUGAACAAUUAAUUAUAUGUUAGAAAUUGUAGUUUUGAAGUUAGAUUAAUGUUGGAGGCAAAAUCAAUACAAUCAUUUUUGUCUCCUCCUAAAGAAUAUCAUAUAUAAACGUGGCUUACUUUUGCAUUAAGAAUAAUUUAGGGUGUAAUUCAAAAUUUGAGUGAGUCUUUGAAUAUUUUAGUGAAUGAUUGGUCAAUGAAUUCGGUUGU
Molecule: RNA transcript, 1684 nt
Organism: Medicago truncatula (barrel medic)
Lineage: Eukaryota; Viridiplantae; Streptophyta; Magnoliopsida; Fabales; Fabaceae
Exons: 2
Source: RefSeq, a predicted model, not a curated record